Molecule: ribosomal RNA, 433 nt
Filed under: uncultured bacterium
Lineage: Bacteria
Description: partial 16S ribosomal RNA
Rfam family: Bacterial small subunit ribosomal RNA
Source: RNAcentral
AACGAACGCUGGCGGCAGGCCUAACACAUGCAAGUCGAGCGGACCCUUCGGGGUUAGCGGCGGACGGGUGAGUAACGCGUGGGAAUAUGCCCUUCUCUACGGAAUAGUCCUGGGAAACUGGGGGUAAUACCGUAUACGCCCUUUGGGGGAAAGAUUUAUCGGGGAAGGAUUAGCCCGCGUUGGAUUAGGGAGUUGGUGGGGUAAUGGCCUACCAAGCCGACGAUCCAUAGCUGGUUUGAGAGGAUGAUCAGCCACACUGGGACUGAGACACGGCCCAGACUCCUACGGGAGGCAGCAGUGGGGAAUCUUAGACAAUGGGGGCAACCCUGAUCUAGCCAUGCCGCGUGAGUGAUGAAGGCCUUAGGGUUGUAAAGCUCUUUCAGCUGGGAAGAUAAUGACGGUACCAGCAGAAGAAGCCCCGGCUAACUCCGUG